Molecule: ribosomal RNA, 325 nt
Filed under: uncultured bacterium
Lineage: Bacteria
Description: bacterial SSU rRNA
Rfam family: Bacterial small subunit ribosomal RNA
Source: RNAcentral
UUGACGUUACCUACAGAAGAAGCACCGGCUAACUCCGUGCCAGCAGCCGCGGUAAUACGGAGGGUGCGAGCGUUAAUCGGAAUUACUGGGCGUAAAGCGCAUGCAGGCGGCCUGUUAAGUCAGAUGUGAAAGCCCGGGGCUUAACCUCGGAAUUGCAUUUGAAACUGGCAGGCUAGAGUCUUGUAGAGGGGGUAGAAUUUCAGGUGUAGCGGUGAAAAUGCGUAGAGAUCUGAAGGAAUACCAGUGGCGAAGGCGGCCCCCUGGACAAAGACUGACGCUCAGAUGCGAAAGCGUGGGGAGCAAACAGGAUUAGAUACCCUGGUAG